This 301-nucleotide ribosomal RNA is filed under the name uncultured bacterium. RNAcentral's name for it is "partial 16S ribosomal RNA". It matches the Rfam family "Bacterial small subunit ribosomal RNA", at positions 509 to 807 of the family's 1533-position model. The record is from RNAcentral.
CAGUCGCCGCGGUAAUACGUAGGUCCUGAGCGUUGUCCGGAUUUAUUGGGCGUAAAGCGAGCGCAGGCGGUUUAAUAAGUCUGAUGUGAAAGCCCACGGCUCAACCGUGGAGGGUCAUUGGAAACUGUUAAACUUGAGUGCAGGAGAGAAAAGUGGAAUUCCUAGCGUAGCGGUGAAAUGCGUAGAGAUUAGGAGGAACACCAGUGGCGAAGGCGGCUUUUUGGCCUGUAACUGACACUGAGGCGCGAAAGCGUGGGGAGCAAACAGGAUUAGAUACCCCAGUAGUCCCUGUCUCUUAUAC